GACGAACGCUGGCGGCGUGCUUAACACAUGCAAGUCGAACGGAAAGGCCCUGCUUGCAGGGUGCUCGAGUGGCGAACGGGUGAGUAACACGUGGGUGAUCUGCCCCUUACUUUGGGAUAAGCCUGGGAAACUGGGUCUAAUACUGGAUAGGACCAUGCUGUAGGUGGUGUGGUGGAAAGAUUAGUUUCGGUAAGGGAUGAGCUCGCGGCCUAUCAGCUUGUUGGUGGGGUAAUGGCCUACCAAGGCGUCGACGGGUAGCCGGCCUGAGAGGGUGGACGGCAAGGUGGGGACUGGGACCGGGCCCAGCAUCCGGGGGGAGGGGGCAGGGGGGAAUAUGGCAAACGGGCCACAGCCCGGAGGCGGAGAAGCGCCGUGGGGGAGGACGCCCUUGGGGUUGUAACCUCGUUCAGGCAGUGAAGAACCCCUUGUGUUGAGGUUAGGGAAAGAAGAAGCCCGGGCUAACUACGUG
This 469-nucleotide ribosomal RNA is filed under the name uncultured bacterium. Its description in RNAcentral is "partial 16S ribosomal RNA". It matches the Rfam family "Bacterial small subunit ribosomal RNA", at positions 28 to 507 of the family's 1533-position model. The record is from RNAcentral.